This 869-nucleotide ribosomal RNA is filed under the name uncultured archaeon. RNAcentral describes it as "bacterial SSU rRNA". It matches the Rfam family "Archaeal small subunit ribosomal RNA", at positions 1 to 878 of the family's 1478-position model. The record is from RNAcentral.
CUCCGGUUGAUCCUGCCGGACCCGACUGCUAUCAGAGUGGGACUAAGCCAUGCGAGUCAACAUAGCAAUAUGUGGCAUACGGCUCAGUAACACGUAGUCAACAUGCCCAGGGGACGUGGAUAACCUCGGGAAACUGAGGAUAAACCGCGAUAGGUCAUCACUUCUGGAAUGGGUAAUGACUUAAAUCUAUAUGGCCCCUGGAUUGGACUGCGGCCGAUCAGGCUGUUGGUGAGGUAAUGGCCCACCAAACCUGUAACCGGUACGGGCUCUGAGAGGAGGAGCCCGGAGAUGGGCACUGAGACAAGGGCCCAGGCCCUAUGGGGCGCAGCAGGCGCGAAACCUCUGCAAUAGGCGAAAGCUUGACAGGGUUACUCUGAGUGAUUUCCGUUAAGGAGAUCUUUUGGCACCUCUAAAAAUGGUGCAGGAUAAGGGGUGGGCAAGUCUGGUGUCAGCCGCCGCGGUAAUACCAGCACCCCGAGUGGUCGGGACGUUUAUUGGGCCUAAAGCAUCCGUAGCCGGUUCUACAAGUCUUCCGUUAAAUCCACCUGCUUAACAGAUGGGCUGCGGAAGAUACUAUAGAGCUAGGAGGCGGGAGAGGCAAGCGGUACUCGAUGGGUAGGGGUAAAAUCCGUUGAUCCAUUGAAGACCACCAGUGGCGAAGGCGGCUUGCCAGAACGCGCUCGACGGUGAGGGAUGAAAGCUGGGGGAGCAAACCGGAUUAGAUACCCGGGUAGUCCCAGCUGUAAACGAUGCAGACUCGGUGAUGAGUUGGCUUAUUGCUAACUCAGUGCCGCAGGGAAGCCGUUAAGUUUGCCGCCUGGGGAGUACGGUCGCAAGACUGAAACUUAAAGGGAUUGGCGGGGGGAGCA